Molecule: transfer RNA, 79 nt
Filed under: Candidatus Bathyarchaeota archaeon
Lineage: Archaea; Thermoproteati; Candidatus Bathyarchaeota
Also listed under: 3 other names
Description: tRNA-Gly
Rfam family: tRNA
About the family: Transfer RNA (tRNA) molecules are approximately 80 nucleotides in length. Their secondary structure includes four short double-helical elements and three loops (D, anti-codon, and T loops).
Source: RNAcentral
GCGGUCGUCGUCUAGUCUGGUUUAGGACACAAGCCUUCCAAGCUUGCGAUCCCGGGUUCAAAUCCCGGCGACCGCACCA